GUGAUUGCUUCGGCAGCACAUAUACUGACAUUGGGAUGAUGCAGAGAAGAUUAGCAUGGCCCCUACGCAGGGAUGACACACAAAACAAAACAAAACAAAACAAAACA
Pipistrellus kuhlii (Kuhl's pipistrelle) is the source of this 107-nucleotide small nuclear RNA. The record is from RefSeq and is a predicted model, not a curated record. NCBI's taxonomy places the organism in Eukaryota, Metazoa, Chordata, Mammalia, Chiroptera, Vespertilionidae.